UACGGGGGAUGCAAGCGUUAUCCGGAUUUAUUGGGUUUAAAGGGUGCGUAGGCGGUUUGAUAAGUCAGCGGUGAAAUAUUUCAGCUUAACUGAAAGGGUGCCGUUGAUACUGUCAGGCUUGAUUAUGGUUGCUGUGGGUGGAAUGUGUGGUGUAGCGGUGAAAUGCUUAGAUAUCACACAGAAUAUCGAUUGCGAAGGCAGCUCACAAAGCCAUUAUUGACGCUGAUGCACGAAAGUGUGGGGAUCAAACAGG
RNAcentral lists this unclassified non-coding RNA (253 nucleotides) under uncultured Bacteroidales bacterium. RNAcentral's name for it is "contains 16S-23S intergenic spacer region". It matches the Rfam family "Bacterial small subunit ribosomal RNA", at positions 524 to 776 of the family's 1533-position model. Lineage: Bacteria; Pseudomonadati; Bacteroidota; Bacteroidia; Bacteroidales. The record is from RNAcentral.